Molecule: ribosomal RNA, 497 nt
Filed under: uncultured bacterium
Lineage: Bacteria
Description: partial 16S ribosomal RNA
Rfam family: Bacterial small subunit ribosomal RNA
Source: RNAcentral
GACGAACGCUGGCGGCGUGCCUAAUACAUGCAAGUUGAGCGCUGAAGGUUGGUACUUGUACCAACUGGAUGAGCAGCGAACGGGUGAGUAACGCGUGGGGAAUCUGCCUUUGAUCGGGGGACAACAUUUGGAAACGAAUGCUAAUACCGCAUAAAAACUUUAAACACAAGUUUUAAGUUUGAAAGAUGCAAUUGCAUCACUCAAAGAUGAUCCCGCGUUGUAUUAGCUAGUUGGUGAGGUAAAGGCUCACCAAGGCGAUGAUACAUAGCCGACCUGAGAGGGUGAUCGGCCACAUUGGGACUGAGACACGGCCCAAACUCCUACGGGAGGCAGCAGUAGGGCAUCUUCGGCAAUAGACGAAAGUCUGACCGAGCAACGCCGCGUGAGUGAAGAAGGUUUUCGGAUCGUAAAACUCUGUUGGUAGAGAAGAACGUUGGUGAGAGUGGAAAGCUCAUCAAGUGACGGUAACUACCCAGAAAGGGACGGCUAACUACGUG